RNAcentral lists this non-coding RNA (101 nucleotides) under Leptocylindrus danicus. Lineage: Eukaryota; Bacillariophyta; Leptocylindrophyceae; Leptocylindrales; Leptocylindraceae. The record is from RNAcentral.
UCCUGAUGAUAUUUUGUGGGGAAAUGCAACAAUCGAACAAAAGGGCAUAAAGAAAAGAAAGAAUCAAAUGUAUUUGUUGCUAGCUUCAUCACUUUUAUUUU